GAGCAGCGGGCUUUUAACCCGCGUGUCGUUGGUUCGAUUCCAACACGGCCCACCA
RNAcentral lists this transfer RNA (55 nucleotides) under Gammaproteobacteria bacterium. RNAcentral's name for it is "tRNA-Ser". It matches the Rfam family "tRNA", at positions 21 to 71 of the family's 71-position model. From Rfam's summary of the family: Transfer RNA (tRNA) molecules are approximately 80 nucleotides in length. Lineage: Bacteria; Pseudomonadati; Pseudomonadota; Gammaproteobacteria. The record is from RNAcentral.